UUGGAGGGCAAGUCUGGUGCCAGCAGCCGCGGUAAUCCCAGCUCCAAUAGCGUAUAUUAAAGUUGUUGCAGUUAAAAAGCUCGUAGUUGAAUUUCGGGAUCAAUGUUUCGGUCAUGCCGUUGGUAUGUACUGAUAUUAUUGGUUUCUCACCUUCUAAAGAACCGUAAUGCCAUUAAUUUGGUGUCACCGGGAAUUAGGACUGUUACCUUGAAAAAAUCAGAGUGUUUGAAGCAGGCUCACGCUUGAAUACAUUAGCAUGGAAUAAUGAAAUAGGACAUCCGAUUCUAUUUUGUUGGUUUCUAGGAUCGAUGUAAUGAUUAAUAGGGAUAGUUGGGGGCAUUAGUAUUCAAUUGUCAGAGGUGAAAUUCUUGGAUUUAUUGAAGACUAACUACUGCGAAAGCAUUUGCCAAGGAUGUUUUCAUUAAUCAAGAACGAAAGUUAGGGGAUCGAAGACGAUCAGAUACCGUCGUAGUCUUAACCAUGAACUAUGCCGACUAGGGAUCGGAUGAUGUUAAUUUUUUAAUGACUCAUUCGGCGCCUUACGGGAAAC
RNAcentral lists this ribosomal RNA (550 nucleotides) under uncultured Glomus. RNAcentral describes it as "SSU rRNA". It matches the Rfam family "Eukaryotic small subunit ribosomal RNA", at positions 548 to 1098 of the family's 1831-position model. Lineage: Eukaryota; Fungi; Glomeromycota; Glomeromycetes; Glomerales; Glomeraceae. The record is from RNAcentral.